This is a long non-coding RNA of Vespa mandarinia (Asian giant hornet), 389 nucleotides long. The record is from RefSeq and is a predicted model, not a curated record. NCBI's taxonomy places the organism in Eukaryota, Metazoa, Arthropoda, Insecta, Hymenoptera, Vespidae.
AGGAACAUUACAAUAGAUUGAUCGUGCGAGUUAUCAUAUUAUUUUCCUUUCGUAUUCCGAAAAAACAUUUUGUUUUCGUAUAACUGACAUUUAAUCAUCUUAGUGAUCCGACGAUUUUAUAAUUAUUUAAAUAAUCUACAAUGUACUCGUAGUACGAUGAGGUGUAGUUAUAGGAGCAUACGUUACCAAGGGGAAAUGAAUUCUUGGAUAAGGUACUAAAUUUGUCUGCAACUCCUCUAAGCUGACAUUGACCGAACCUUCGAAUCUCAUCGACGCUGUGAUGCUCGAUAUUACCUGAGCUUGCAAUCGGUUGAGAUUCGUAUAAGUCGGAUUUUCCACGUUCAGAUUCCUACGAAUGUAAUAAAUGAAUAAAAAAGAUAUCUCAUAUA